GUGGGGAAUAUUGGACAAUGGGGGAAACCCUGAUCCAGCAAUGCCGCGUGUGUGAAGAAGGCCUUAGGGUUGUAAAGCACUUUCACCCGUGAAGAUGAUGACGGUAGCGGGAGAAGAAGCCCCGGCUAACUCCGUGCCAGCAGCCGCGGUAAUACGGAGGGGGCUAGCGUUGUUCGGAUUUACUGGGCGUAAAGCGCACGUAGGCGGCGCGUCAAGUUAGAGGUGAAAGGCCUGGGCUCAACCUAGGAACUGCCUUUAAUACUGACGUGCUUGAGGCCGGAAGAGGGUGACGGAAUUCCCAGUGUAGAGGUGAAAUUCGUAGAUAUUGGGAAGAACACCAGUGGCGAAGGCGGUCACCUGGUCCGGUUCUGACGCUGAGGUGCGAAAGCGUGGGGAGCAAACAGGAUUAGAAACCCGAGUAGUCC
RNAcentral lists this ribosomal RNA (425 nucleotides) under uncultured bacterium. RNAcentral describes it as "bacterial SSU rRNA". It matches the Rfam family "Bacterial small subunit ribosomal RNA", at positions 354 to 796 of the family's 1533-position model. The record is from RNAcentral.